GCUUACGGCCACAGCGCCUGGUUCACGCCUGAUCUCGUUUGAUCUCGGAAGCUAAGAUAGGAUGGGCCUGGUUAGUACUUGGAUGGGAGACCGCCUAGGAAUACCAGGUGCUGUAAGGC
This 119-nucleotide ribosomal RNA is filed under the name Scophthalmus maximus (turbot). The record is from RNAcentral. Lineage: Eukaryota; Metazoa; Chordata; Actinopteri; Pleuronectiformes; Scophthalmidae.